This 419-nucleotide ribosomal RNA is filed under the name bacterium. RNAcentral's name for it is "partial 16S ribosomal RNA". It matches the Rfam family "Bacterial small subunit ribosomal RNA", at positions 355 to 776 of the family's 1533-position model. The record is from RNAcentral.
UGGGGGAUAUUGCACAAUGGGCGAAAGCCUGAUGCAGCGACGCCGCGUGGGGGAUGAAGGCCUACGGGUUGUAAACUUCUUUUGCUCUGAACAAGGCAUGCUAAUGGGUGUGUUGAGUGUAGGGGUUGAUUAGCGCCGGCUAACUACGUGCCAGCAGCCGCGGUAAUACGUAGGGCGCGAGCGUUGUCCGGAAUUAUUGGGCGUAAAGGGCUUGUAGGUGGCUGGUUGCGUCUGUCGUGAAAGCUCAUGGCUUAACUGUGGGUUUGCGGUGGGUACGGGCUGGCUUGAGUGCAGUAGGGGAGGCUGGAAUUCCUGGUGUAGCGGUGGAAUGCGCAGAUAUCAGGAGGAAUACCGGUGGCGAAGGCGGGUCUCUGGGCUGUUACUGACACUGAGGAGCGAAAGCAUGGGGAGCGAACAGG